UACGUAGGGGGCAAGCGUUGUCCGGAUUUAUUGGGCGUAAAGAGCGUGUAGGCGGCUGGGUAGGUCCGUUGUGAAAACUCGAGGCUCAACCUCGAGACGCCGAUGGAAACCCCCCGGCUAGAGUCCGGAAGAGGAGAGUGGAAUUCCUGGUGUAGCAGUGAAAUGCGUAGAUAUCAGGAGGAAUACCGAUGGCGAAGGCAGGUCUCUGGGCUGACACUGACGCUCAUGCACGAAAGCGUGGGGAGCAAACAGG
RNAcentral lists this ribosomal RNA (253 nucleotides) under uncultured bacterium. RNAcentral describes it as "partial 16S ribosomal RNA". It matches the Rfam family "Bacterial small subunit ribosomal RNA", at positions 524 to 776 of the family's 1533-position model. The record is from RNAcentral.